AAGCAUAUCAAUAAGCGGAGGA
Molecule: ribosomal RNA, 22 nt
Filed under: Rhizopus stolonifer var. stolonifer
Lineage: Eukaryota; Fungi; Mucoromycota; Mucoromycetes; Mucorales; Rhizopodaceae
Also listed under: 5 other names
Description: partial 28S ribosomal RNA
Source: RNAcentral